Molecule: non-coding RNA, 20 nt
Filed under: Arabidopsis thaliana (thale cress)
Lineage: Eukaryota; Viridiplantae; Streptophyta; Magnoliopsida; Brassicales; Brassicaceae
Source: RNAcentral
GGUAACAUGUCUGAUGUUGA